This 442-nucleotide ribosomal RNA is filed under the name uncultured bacterium. RNAcentral's name for it is "partial 16S ribosomal RNA". It matches the Rfam family "Bacterial small subunit ribosomal RNA", at positions 338 to 795 of the family's 1533-position model. The record is from RNAcentral.
CCUACGGGUGGCUGCAGUGGGGAAUAUUGGGCAAUGGGCGCAAGCCUGACCCAGCAAUGCCGCGUGAAGGAAGAAGGCUUUCGGGUUGUAAACUUCUUUGACAGGGGAAGAGCAGAAGACGGUCACCUGAAAACAAGCCACGGCUAACUACGUGACAGCCGCCGCGGUAAUAAGUAGGUGGCAAGCGUUGUCCGGAUUUACGGGGUGUAAAGGGCGUGUAGCCGGGAAAGCAAUUCAGAUGUGAAAUCUGGAGGCUCAACCUCCAGAUUGCAUUUGAAACUGUUUGUCUUGAGUACUGGAGAGGCAGACGGAAUUCCGUGUGUAGCGGUGAAAUGCGUAGAUAUAAGGAGGAACACCAGUGGCGAAGGCGGUCGGCUGGACAGCAACUGACGGUGAGGCGCGAAAGCGUGGGGAGCAAACAGGAUUAGAUACCCCUGUAGUC